GACGAACGCUGGCGGCGUGCCUAAUACAUGCAAGUCGAACGCACUCUCGUUUAGAUUGAAGGAGCUUGCUCCUGAUUGAUAAACAUUUGAGUGAGUGGCGGACGGGUGAGUAACACGUGGGUAACCUGCCCUAAAGUGGGGGAUAACAUUUGGAAACAGAUGCUAAUACCGCAUAAAACCUAAACACCGCAUGGUGUAGGGUUGAAAGAUGGUUUCGGCUAUCACUUUAGGAUGGACCCGCGGUGCAUUAGUUAGUUGGUGAGGUAAAGGACUCACCAAGACCGUGAUGCAUAGCCGACCUGAGAGGGUAAUCGGCCACACUGGGACUGAGACACGGCCCACGACUCCUACGGAGGCAGCAGUAGGGAAUCUUCCACAAUAGGACGAAAGUACUGAU
This 397-nucleotide ribosomal RNA is filed under the name uncultured bacterium. RNAcentral's name for it is "bacterial SSU rRNA". It matches the Rfam family "Bacterial small subunit ribosomal RNA", at positions 28 to 387 of the family's 1533-position model. The record is from RNAcentral.